AGAGUUUGAUCCUGGCUCAGAAUGAACGCUGGCGGCGUGCCUAACACAUGCAAGUCGGAUGUGCCGCAAGGUGCAUGGCAGACGGGUGAGUAACGCGUGGGGAAUCUACCUCUUUGUGGGGAAUAACGCUCCGAAAGGAGUGGUAAUACCGCAUGAGAUCCAUGGCUGGGAUGCUGUGGAUGAAACCUGGGGACCUUCGGGCCUGGGGCAAGGAGAGGAUCCUGCGUCUGAUUAGCUAGUUGGUGAGGUAACGGCCCACCAAGGCGACGAUCAGUAGCCGGCCUGAGAGGGUGAUCGGCCACACUGGAACUGAGACACGGUCCAGACUCCUACGGGAGGCAGCAGUGGGGAAUUUUGCGCAAUGGGCGAAAGCCUGACGCAGCAACGCCGCGUGGGUGAUGAAGGUCUUCGGAUCGUAAAACCCUGUCGUCGGGGACGAAGGCGGACUUGUUAAUAGCGAGUUUGCUUGACGGUACCCGGAGAGGAAGCCCCGGCUAACUCUGUGCCAGCAGCCGCGGUAAUACAGAGGGGGCAAGCGUUAUUCGGAAUUAUUGGGCGUAAAGGGCGCGUAGGCGGCUUUUUAAGUGAGAUGUGUAAUCCCCGAGCUCAACUUGGGAACUGCAUCUCAUACUGGGAGGCUAGAGUACUGGAGAGGGUGGUAGAAUUCCACGUGUAGCGGUGAAAUGCGUAGAGAUGUGGAGGAAUACCAGUGGCGAAGGCGGCCACCUGGACAGUAACUGACGCUGAGGCGCGAAAGUGUGGGUAGCAAACAGGAUUAGAUACCCUGGUAGUCC
Molecule: ribosomal RNA, 794 nt
Filed under: uncultured bacterium
Lineage: Bacteria
Description: bacterial SSU rRNA
Rfam family: Bacterial small subunit ribosomal RNA
Source: RNAcentral